Molecule: ribosomal RNA, 467 nt
Filed under: uncultured bacterium
Lineage: Bacteria
Description: partial 16S ribosomal RNA
Rfam family: Bacterial small subunit ribosomal RNA
Source: RNAcentral
GACGAACGCUGGCGGCGUGCUUAACACAUGCAAGUCGAACGGAAAGGCCUCUUUCGGGGGGUACUCGAGUGGCGAACGGGUGAGUAACACGUGAGUAACCUGCCCUUGACUUUAGGAUAACUUCAGGAAACUGGGGCUAAUACCGGAUAGGAGCUCCUGCUGCAUGGUGGGGGUUGGAAAGUUUCGGCGGUUGGGGAUGGACUCGCGGCUUAUCAGCUUGUUGGUGGGGUAGUGGCUUACCAAGGCUUUGACGGGUAGCCGGCCUGAGAGGGUGACCGGCCACAUUGGGACUGAGAUACGGCCCAGACUCCUACGGGAGGCAGCAGUGGGGAAUAUUGCACAAUGGGUGGAAGCCUGAUGCAGCAACGCCGUGUGCGGGAUGACGGCCUUCGGGUUGUAAACCGCUUUCGCUCAUGACGAAGCUUUGUGUGACGGUAGUGGGUAAAGAAGCACCGGCUAACUACGUG